RNAcentral lists this transfer RNA (82 nucleotides) under Mustela putorius furo (domestic ferret). It matches the Rfam family "tRNA". Rfam says of the family: Transfer RNA (tRNA) molecules are approximately 80 nucleotides in length. Their secondary structure includes four short double-helical elements and three loops (D, anti-codon, and T loops). Lineage: Eukaryota; Metazoa; Chordata; Mammalia; Carnivora; Mustelidae. The record is from Rfam by way of RNAcentral.
GCCUGGCUGGCUCAGUUGGUAGAGCAUGUGACUCUUCAUCGACUCUAUCUCAGGGUUGUGAGUUCAAGUCCCAUGUUGGGCC